GCUAAAGAGAUGAACCUCAGGGUCGUCGAUGCAAACACGAUAACUUUGUCUUUCGAUGAGACGACAACACUAGAGGAUGUUGACAAGCUGUUUGAGGUUUUCUCUGGUGGCAAGCCGGUGAGCUUCACUGCUGAGUCGCUUGCGCCUGAGGUUCAGCCUGUUAUCCCGAGCAGCGUUGCGAGGGAGAGCUCAUACCUGACACAUCAGAUCUUCAAUUCGUACCACACAGAGCACGAGCUGCUCCGGUACCUUCAUCGGUUGCAAGCCAAGGAUCUAUCCUUGUGCCACAGUAUGAUUCCGCUCGGUUCUUGCACAAUGAAGUUGAAUGCCACUGUGGAGAUGAUGCCUGUGACAUGGCCGAAUUUUGCGGACCUCCACCCCUUUGCACCAACUGAACAAGC
Molecule: unclassified non-coding RNA, 401 nt
Filed under: Hevea brasiliensis (rubber tree)
Lineage: Eukaryota; Viridiplantae; Streptophyta; Magnoliopsida; Malpighiales; Euphorbiaceae
Source: RNAcentral